AGACUGGCCUGGAACUCACAGCAAUCCUCCUGCCUCAGCCUCCCAAGCGCUAAGAUUACAGGCGUGAGCCACCACGGCAAACUUUGCUUCAUUACCAAAAGGAGUGUUACUCCUAUCCUAGCGCCUAGGGAAAGGAUCAACUGGGAACCUGUCCUGAAGCAGUCUCAACAGGAUUGGCUCUAAAGUUGGCAUGACUACAAAGCCAGAUAAGUGACAUCACUAAGAAUGGAGAACAUAGCCUCCAGGUAUUUUUGGUCCCCUUAUAUAAAUUAUUUUAUCCUCGCAGCACCUACAUUAAUACAUUCUCAAAUAACAGGUAAGAAAACUGAGGUGAAGAGACGUUAACUAACUUGCCCAAUGUCAUACAACUGCAUAGUGGUAAAGAUAGGAUUCAACCUCUGGCUCUUAAUCACUGCCCCUGUAUAGCAAAAACAGUAAGGCAGCAGCCGCAGAGACUGCAAUGGCGAACUGAGCUCUUGUUCUGUACCUAAGUUUAGGUGACUACUUCACAAGGGUUAUUUCGUUUAAUACUUGCAGUAACCCCACAAGGAAUAUACUAUUAUUUUCACAUUAAAAAUGAUCAAAUUAAGAUUUAGAGAAAUUAACCUGCCUAUGCUUUUUAUCAAUGCCUACUGAUUUUAGUUGCCUAAGGUCUGGGAAGAGCUAAAAAUCCAAAAGUUCAGAAUCUAUCUCUGUUCAGGGGUUUGUCAUUACUUUUAGAAAUUACUUAACAUAAUGGCUGUCCACUGACAAUGAAAGGGUUAAAUCACGGCCCCCCAACAGUAGAACUCCAUGAAAGCCAUUUAAAGCCAUUCCAGAAUUGGAACUAACUAGACCUCCCUAGUAGAGGUCAUAAUACAGCAAUACUGAUCAAAACUUCACAAGAUAAAAAUGUAAUUUCUCCCUUGAGUCCUGGCCAGUCCUCUCUAAAAGGAUUAUAUACUAAGGUCUGACUGUACCAUCAACCAAAAAGAAGCACCAACAAAAUACACCUUCAUGAAUGGAAGAUCUUUCCAGCCUGGUCUGCUCAGCACUGCCGCACUGCCCUCAACAAAAUGAAAGUAGUGCAGACAACCAACUCAGAGAGAAGUCAGGAAAUUCUACAGGACUAUGAUAAGCAAUGUAUGGCUUUCAACUUGCUGGUGUUUGUUAUAUAAUUUGUUAUAGUGCUAAAAAGUAAAAUAUUUAAUACGAAAAGGGUUUGUCUCUGGGAAUAUCAAAGUUAUGAGAAACGAAGUAUUUUGUCCCAUUCUGCACUAGAGAAUUCCUAAAGGACACCAAGGAAUCAGGUACAUGUGGGGACUAGCACAAAGACAGCACAUCCUAGACUAAAGUUAAAAAGAUUAUGUUUGACAAAGGGCUGAGAAGUUCACCUCCGAGGAUUCCAGUUUGUUUCCAGAAGCAAUUCCAAACCAGGCUAGCAGAGGUUAUUAGAAUUUCUAAAAGGACAAA
Long non-coding RNA from Chinchilla lanigera (long-tailed chinchilla), 1452 nucleotides. RefSeq lists it as uncharacterized. The record is from RefSeq and is a predicted model, not a curated record. NCBI's taxonomy places the organism in Eukaryota, Metazoa, Chordata, Mammalia, Rodentia, Chinchillidae. The transcript is spliced from 3 exons.